CAGUCGCCGCGGUAAAACGUAGGUGGCAAGCGUUGUCCGGAAUUAUUGGGCGUAAAGGGCUCGCAGGCGGUUUCUUAAGUCUGAUGUGAAAGCCCCCGGCUCAACCGGGGAGGGUCAUUGGAAACUGGGAAACUUGAGUGCAGAAGGGGAGAGUGGAAUUCCACGUGUAGCGGUGAAAUGCGUAGAGAUGUGGAGGAACACCAGUGGCGAAGGCGACUCUCUGGUCUGUAACUGACGCUGAGGAGCGAAAGCGUGGGGAGCGAACAGGAUUAGAUACCCCCGUAGUCCCUGUCUCUUAUAA
Molecule: ribosomal RNA, 301 nt
Filed under: uncultured bacterium
Lineage: Bacteria
Description: partial 16S ribosomal RNA
Rfam family: Bacterial small subunit ribosomal RNA
Source: RNAcentral